RNAcentral lists this transfer RNA (111 nucleotides) under Tissierella pigra. RNAcentral's name for it is "Tissierella sp. DSM 105185 tRNA-OTHER". Lineage: Bacteria; Bacillati; Bacillota; Tissierellia; Tissierellales; Tissierellaceae. The record is from RNAcentral.
GGAGCAGAUGGUCAGUGCGACUAAAGCCAUGAGAAUAGAAGAAGUGAACCAAAAGUUUGUCUAUUAAUAAUAUGUUAGAGUACAAGGGAGGUUCGAUUCCUCCCUGCUCCG